Molecule: ribosomal RNA, 500 nt
Filed under: uncultured bacterium
Lineage: Bacteria
Description: partial 16S ribosomal RNA
Rfam family: Bacterial small subunit ribosomal RNA
Source: RNAcentral
AUUGAACGCUGGCGGCAUGCCUUACACAUGCAAGUCGAACGGCAGCACGGGAACAAUCCUGGUGGCGAGUGGCGAACGGGUGAGUAAAGUAUCGGAACGUGCCCAGUCGUGGGGGAUAACGUAGCGAAAGUUACGCUAAUACCGCAUACGAUCUAUGGAUGAAAGCGGGGGAUCGCAAGACCUCGCGCGAUUGGAGCGGCCGAUAUCAGAUUAGGUAGUUGGUGGGGUAAAGGCUUACCAAGCCGACGAUCUGUAGCUGGUCUGAGAGGACGACCAGCCACACUGGGACUGAGACACGGCCCAGACUCCUACGGGAGGCAGCAGUGGGGAAUUUUGGACAAUGGGCGAAAGCCUGAUCCAGCCAUGCCGCGUGCAGGAUGAAGGCCUUCGGGUUGUAAACUGCUUUUGUACGGAACGAAAAGGUUUGGCCUAAUAAGCUGAGCUCAUGACGGUACCGUAAGAAUAAGCACCGGCUAACUACGUGCCAGCCGCCGCGGUAA